AUAUUCUAUACAGAUGAUUACACAUUAGCUAGUGAAAGCAAGCAUUUCUUUAAUUUAUAUUUAAAGGGAACAUGGGAAGGACUAGUUCUGAUGUCACUUGGGAGUUCAUUCCAUAGGCGCCUGGAACGAGUAGGAGGGGGCAGGAGGCGAAACCGGGAUCGGAGAUACGACAUACCAACUACUUAACAUACCGAUCUCGCUCCAAUUAAAAUGAGACCAAGCACCAACAGAUUUUGAAUAAAAAAUAGUCAGCAAAAUUAGUAGCAACAAAUACCCAGAAAAAACUUAUGAAGUACACAAGAAAUCAGUCGAAUUGAGAACCUCCUUUUUUAAAUCGUUUAAGAACAGGUUUACUCCUCUAAUUUUUCAAUAAUGAUUUUUAUUGUUUUUAUUGUAAUAAAAUAGGUAAAAACUAAAAUAUA
Molecule: long non-coding RNA, 422 nt
Organism: Melitaea cinxia (Glanville fritillary)
Lineage: Eukaryota; Metazoa; Arthropoda; Insecta; Lepidoptera; Nymphalidae
Exons: 2
Source: RefSeq, a predicted model, not a curated record